UUAGCAAGGGCCGGGUAAGACCGGUGCCAGCCGCCGCGGUAAUACCGGCGGCUCGAGUGGUGGCCGAUAUUAUUGAGUCUAAAGGGUCCGUAGCCGGCUUUGCAAGUCCCCUGGGAAAUCCAGCGGCUUAACCGUUGGGCUUCCAUGGGAUACUACAUUGCUUGGGACUGGGAGAGGUAGGAGGUACUCGGGGGGUAGGGGUGAAAUCCUGUAAUCCUCCGGGGACCACCGGUGGCGAAGGCGUCCUACCAGAACAGGUCCGACGGUGAGGGACGAAAGCUAGGGGCACGAACCGGAUUAGAUACCCGGGUAGUCCUAGCCGUAAACGAUGCCCGCUAGGUGUCACGACGGUCGUGAAUCGUCGUGGUGCCGUAGGGAAGCCGCGAAGCGGGCCACUUGGGAAGUACGACCGCAAGGUUGAAACUUAAAGGAAUUGGCGGGGGAGCACCACAACGGGUGGAGCCUGCGGUUUAAUUGGAUUCAACGCCGGGAAGCUUACCGGGAUCGACAGUUGUAUGAAGGCCAGGCUGAAGACCUUGCCGGACUAGCUGAGAGGAAGUGCAUGGCC
Molecule: ribosomal RNA, 568 nt
Filed under: uncultured archaeon
Lineage: Archaea
Description: bacterial SSU rRNA
Rfam family: Archaeal small subunit ribosomal RNA
Source: RNAcentral